Molecule: long non-coding RNA, 930 nt
Filed under: Struthio camelus australis
Lineage: Eukaryota; Metazoa; Chordata; Aves; Struthioniformes; Struthionidae
Description: lncRNA (ENSSCUG00000017815.1)
Source: RNAcentral
UGUCCAGCCCCCGGCUGCACCUGCCCUGCCCGGUCUGGGAAACAACUGCACUGGAGGAGCAAACCGACCCAAUGAGGGAGGUUUUUUCCAUUCAAAACUGAGGAAUCAUGAAACAGAGACUCUUUGGCCUUGUGUACCCAAAAUAUGGGUCUCUGGCAUGUCCCCUCAACCAAAGGAGGCUCCUCUGUCAGCAGCCAAGGAAACCAGGUCGGCUGCAGAUGUGUCCCUGGAGAAACGAGGCCAGUGUGGAUUCUCUGCUGUCUAAUACAGGCUCUUAAAGAAACGAGGAGAUACCUGGGGAGGGGAUACGUUAUUGAACACAGCGCCAAAAGCCCAGCUGCUCCCGAGCCACCAACGGCCAUUGAAUCGCUCUGGUUGUCACCUGGGUUUUAAGCGGGCCGUGAGGCACCAGCGGGCCCUGGGCCGGAGAGCAUCGACGUGGCACAGUGAGUGGGGUCUCUUUUUCAGUUUGCAAACGAGAAAGGAUCCUGUUUUCCGUUCAAAGCAUGUCAUUUCAUUCCCCUUGCAAACGCCCCUCCGGCCGCACCGGGGCAGGCAGAGCACCGUGCCGCCGGGGAAGACUUGGUCCCGCUCUGCCGAGGGGGACCCUCUGCUUCGCUCUAUGCUGAAGGCGAUUUCCCAGCAAUUCCCCCACCCGCAGCCCGUGCCGGCUGGGCAGCACACGCUCCAUCUCGGCCCCGCAAAGCUGGGUGCAAAGCACCUGCCCGGGACGCGUGACCCCCCCGUCUGGGGGUCUGAGUCCGGACCCCCGGCCCAACUCGGUGCGCCGACGCGCUCUUGGCACUCUGCGCCGGGGCGAUUUAACACCACGUCUGUGUUAAGACCUUUGGGCCCACAAGGCCGGUCAGCCCUGUCCCCUCUCCAUCCCCGCUAGAUCGGGCCUUAAAAGCCUCCAAGAGUCGCAGGCGC